UACAGAGGUCCCAAGCGUUACUGAGAAUCACUGGGUUUAAAGGGUGCGUAGGUGGUCCGUUAAGUCAGUUGUGAAAUCCCCGGGCUCAACCCGGGAACUGCUUCUGAUACUGGCGGACUUGAGGCCAGUAGGGGGUCACUAGAACUGACGGUGGAGCGGUGAAAUGCGUAGAUAUCGUCAGGAAUGCCGGUGGUGAAGACGGGUGACUGGGCUGGUUCUGACACUGAGGCACGAAAGCGUGGGGGAGCGAACGGG
RNAcentral lists this ribosomal RNA (255 nucleotides) under uncultured bacterium. RNAcentral's name for it is "partial 16S ribosomal RNA". It matches the Rfam family "Bacterial small subunit ribosomal RNA", at positions 524 to 776 of the family's 1533-position model. The record is from RNAcentral.